GGCCCUAUAGUGUAGUAGUUAGCACGCCGGCUUAUCUUUAAGCUAGGAGGCCUAGGUUCGACUCCUAGUAAGGCUU
Non-coding RNA from Cadophora sp. MPI-SDFR-AT-0126, 76 nucleotides. The record is from the annotation of a GenBank genome assembly. NCBI's taxonomy places the organism in Eukaryota, Fungi, Ascomycota, Leotiomycetes, Helotiales, Ploettnerulaceae.